AACAAUGGAUAUGUACCAGAAGAUUUAAAAUACAUUGUUAACACGUAAGUUCUAUACAUGCCUAAAAUCUUAAGCAAUCUGCUAACUUUAUCCUUUUCUUUUGUUGUUGAUUAGGACAUAGUAACUGCAUGUAGACAUAGUAAAUUUAUCAACCAAGUGUUAAGAACCAAUGCAUAUUUAUUGUACUUAAUAUAUGUGAAGAUUGAAUAUGAAAAGUUUUGGAAAGAGAGAGUAAGAAUGUUUGAUUUCUUUUGUGGCUGUUUAAUUAUAUAUCGAUUCCUCUAGUUAUGAAUGUGAGACUCAUACAAUACUCUAUUUUUAAAUUUGUAAGUAAAGACACAUUAAAUACCACCAAAUUUGUUUUUUUUUUCUUUCUUUUCCUUAUAUACAUAUUAAAUACAAUUAUAGGUGUUCUGAAUAAGUGUGUGAUAUUUUAUAUGCUAAUUUCACUUUUUGUGUAGGUCGCUCAACAUAGUUAAUAAAAGCUUAACUAACCGCAAUGAUCGUCCCAUUGAGUGGAUAACUCCGAUAUGUCCACAACAACCAGACGGGAAGCAAUGUGGAUAUUAUGUCAUGAAAUUUAUUGAGAGGUUCAUGAACGAAGAAGAUCCAAUACGCCGAGUGAGAGAAAUGGGUAAGAGCGAUCCGUACUCAAAUGACGAGAUGAAUAUUUUGCGUGAUCAGUGGAUUGAAUAUGUUCGAGCACAAGCAGUGCGACAAGGGCUUUUACAAUGAUCAGUUUCUAUUUUUGUUUAUACUUUAUCCUAACUAAUUAGUGACAAUAUACAGUAAAAAUUAAUUAAUGUAGGGAAAAUUUUACUAUGUAAAACAGGAUCUGUUUAACUUUCACUAAUGACAAUAUAUAUACUUUAUCCUAA
Molecule: long non-coding RNA, 878 nt
Organism: Cannabis sativa
Lineage: Eukaryota; Viridiplantae; Streptophyta; Magnoliopsida; Rosales; Cannabaceae
Exons: 2
Source: RefSeq, a predicted model, not a curated record